RNAcentral lists this ribosomal RNA (253 nucleotides) under uncultured bacterium. Its description in RNAcentral is "partial 16S ribosomal RNA". It matches the Rfam family "Bacterial small subunit ribosomal RNA", at positions 524 to 776 of the family's 1533-position model. The record is from RNAcentral.
UACAGAGGGGGCCAGCGUUAUUCGGAAUUAUUGGGCGUAAAGAGCUCGUAGGCGGCUUGUUGCGUCGACUGUGAAAACCCGCGGCUUAACUGCGGGCUUGCAGUUGAUACGGGCAGGCUAGAGUUCGGUAGGGGAGACUGGAAUUCCUGGUGUAGCGGUGAAAUGCGCAGAUAUCAGGAGGAACACCGGUGGCGAAGGCGGGUCUCUGGGCCGAUACUGACGCUGAGGAGCGAAAGCGUGGGGAGCGAACAGG